RNAcentral lists this ribosomal RNA (985 nucleotides) under mouse gut metagenome. RNAcentral's name for it is "bacterial LSU rRNA". It matches the Rfam family "Bacterial large subunit ribosomal RNA", at positions 1942 to 2925 of the family's 2925-position model. The record is from RNAcentral.
AUAACGGUCCUAAGGUAGCGAAAUUCCUUGUCAGGUAAGUUCUGACCCGCACGAAUGGCGUAAUGAUUUGGGCACUGUCUCGACAGCCCACCCGGCGAAAUUGUAGUACUGGUGAAGAUGCCAGUUACCCGCAACUAGACGGAAAGACCCCAUGGAGCUUUACUGUAGCUUAAUACUGAAGAUUGGUAAUGCAUGUACAGGAUAGGUGGGAGACUUAGAAGCCAGGGCGUCAGCUUUGGUGGAGUCGACCUUGGGAUACCACUCUUGUAUUGCUGGUUUUCUAACCUGCGGCCCUGAAUCGGGUCGGGGGACACUGUUAGGUGGGCAGUUUGACUGGGGCGGUCGCCUCCAAAAGAGUAACGGAGGCGCUCAAAGGUUCGUUCAGCACGGACGGAAAUCGUGCAUUGAGUGUAAACGCAUAAACGAGCCUAACUGCGAGACCGACGGGUCGAGCAGUAACGAAAGUUGGAGUUAGUGAUCCGGUGGUAUGUGAGUGGAAAUGCCAUCGCUCAACGGAUAAAAGCUACCCUGGGGAUAACAGGCUGAUCUCCCCCAAGCGUCCACAGCGACGGGGAGGUUUGGCACCUCGAUGUCGGCUCGUCACAUCCUGGGGCUGAAUUCGGUCCCAAGGGUUCGGCUGUUCGCCGAUUAAAGUGGCACGCGAGCUGGGUUCAGAACGUCGUGAGACAGUUCGGUCCCUAUCUGUUGCGGGCGUAAGAGAUUUGAAGGGAGCUGUCCUUAGUACGAGAGGACCGGGAUGGACGUACCUCUGGUGCACCAGUUGUCGUGCCAACGGCACAGCUGGGUAGCUAUGUACGGACGGGAUAAACGCUGAAGGCAUCUAAGCGUGAAGCCCCCCCUAAGAUGAGAUCUCUCAUCCUUUAUGGAGUAAGGGCCCAGGAAGACUACCUGGUUGAUAGGCAGGAGGUGGAAGCGCAGUAAUGUGUGCAGCUGACCUGUACUAAUCGCCCGAGGGCUUGACCUA